RNAcentral lists this ribosomal RNA (397 nucleotides) under Listeria monocytogenes. Its description in RNAcentral is "bacterial SSU rRNA". It matches the Rfam family "Bacterial small subunit ribosomal RNA", at positions 443 to 832 of the family's 1533-position model. Lineage: Bacteria; Bacillati; Bacillota; Bacilli; Caryophanales; Listeriaceae. The record is from RNAcentral.
AGAAGAACAAGGAUAAGAGUAACUGCUUGUCCCUUGACGGUAUCUAACCAGAAAGCCACGGCUAACUACGUGCCAGCAGCCGCGGUAAUACGUAGGUGGCAAGCGUUGUCCGGAUUUAUUGGGCGUAAAGCGCGCGCAGGCGGUCUUUUAAGUCUGAUGUGAAAGCCCCCGGCUUAACCGGGGAGGGUCAUUGGAAACUGGAAGACUGGAGUGCAGAAGAGGAGAGUGGAAUUCCACGUGUAGCGGUGAAAUGCGUAGAUAUGUGGAGGAACACCAGUGGCGAAGGCGACUCUCUGGUCUGUAACUGACGCUGAGGCGCGAAAGCGUGGGGAGCAAACAGGAUUAGAUACCCUGGUAGUCCACGCCGUAAACGAUGAGUGCUAAGUGUUAGGGGGUU